This 377-nucleotide unclassified non-coding RNA is filed under the name uncultured Actinomycetes bacterium. RNAcentral's name for it is "uncultured actinobacterium contains 16S-23S intergenic spacer region". Lineage: Bacteria; Bacillati; Actinomycetota; Actinomycetes. The record is from RNAcentral.
UCCGAGUUGUCCCCGGCAGUCUCCUAUGAGUCCCCGACAUUACUCGCUGGCAACAUAGGACGAGGGUUGCGCUCGUUGCGGGACUUAACCCAACAUCUCACGACACGAGCUGACGACAGCCAUGCACCACCUGUAUACGGCCCCGAAGGACACCAUAUCUCUAUGGCUUUUCCGUAUAUUUCAAGCCCUGGUAAGGUUCUUCGCGUUGCAUCGAAUUAAACCACAUGCUCCACCGCUUGUGCGGGCCCCCGUCAAUUCCUUUGAGUUUCAGCCUUGCGGCCGUACUCCCCAGGCGGGGCGCUUAAUGCGUUAGCUGCGGCACGGAGGACGUGGAUAGUCCCCCACACCUAGCGCCCAACGUUUACGGUGUGGACUAC